Molecule: ribosomal RNA, 2904 nt
Filed under: Klebsiella pneumoniae subsp. pneumoniae KpMDU1
Lineage: Bacteria; Pseudomonadati; Pseudomonadota; Gammaproteobacteria; Enterobacterales; Enterobacteriaceae
Also listed under: 1 other name
Description: bacterial LSU rRNA
Rfam family: Bacterial large subunit ribosomal RNA
Source: RNAcentral
GGUUAAGCGACUAAGCGUACACGGUGGAUGCCCUGGCAGUCAGAGGCGAUGAAGGACGUGCUAAUCUGCGAAAAGCGUCGGUAAGGUGAUAUGAACCGUUAUAACCGGCGAUGUCCGAAUGGGGAAACCCAGUGCAAUUCGUUGCACUAUCGUUAACUGAAUACAUAGGUUAACGAGGCGAACCGGGGGAACUGAAACAUCUAAGUACCCCGAGGAAAAGAAAUCAACCGAGAUUCCCCCAGUAGCGGCGAGCGAACGGGGAGCAGCCCAGAGUCUGAAUCAGCUUGUGUGUUAGUGGAACGGUCUGGAAAGUCCGACGGUACAGGGUGAUAGUCCCGUACACCAAAAUGCACAGGUUGUGAACUCGAAGAGUAGGGCGGGACACGUGGUAUCCUGUCUGAAUAUGGGGGGACCAUCCUCCAAGGCUAAAUACUCCUGACUGACCGAUAGUGAACCAGUACCGUGAGGGAAAGGCGAAAAGAACCCCGGCGAGGGGAGUGAAAAAGAACCUGAAACCGUGUACGUACAAGCAGUGGGAGCACCUUCGGGUGUGACUGCGUACCUUUUGUAUAAUGGGUCAGCGACUUAUAUUCUGUAGCAAGGUUAACCGUAUAGGGGAGCCGCAGGGAAACCGAGUCUUAACUGGGCGUUAAGUUGCAGGGUAUAGACCCGAAACCCGGUGAUCUAGCCAUGGGCAGGUUGAAGGUUGGGUAACACUAACUGGAGGACCGAACCGACUAAUGUUGAAAAAUUAGCGGAUGACUUGUGGCUGGGGGUGAAAGGCCAAUCAAACCGGGAGAUAGCUGGUUCUCCCCGAAAGCUAUUUAGGUAGCGCCUCGUGAACUCAUCUUCGGGGGUAGAGCACUGUUUCGGCUAGGGGGUCAUCCCGACUUACCAACCCGAUGCAAACUACGAAUACCGAAGAAUGUUAUCACGGGAGACACACGGCGGGUGCUAACGUCCGUCGUGAAGAGGGAAACAACCCAGACCGCCAGCUAAGGUCCCAAAGUCAUGGUUAAGUGGGAAACGAUGUGGGAAGGCACAGACAGCCAGGAUGUUGGCUUAGAAGCAGCCAUCAUUUAAAGAAAGCGUAAUAGCUCACUGGUCGAGUCGGCCUGCGCGGAAGAUGUAACGGGGCUAAACCAUGCACCGAAGCUGCGGCAGCGACACUAUGUGUUGUUGGGUAGGGGAGCGUUCUGUAAGCCUGCGAAGGUGUGCUGUGAGGCAUGCUGGAGGUAUCAGAAGUGCGAAUGCUGACAUAAGUAACGAUAAAGCGGGUGAAAAGCCCGCUCGCCGGAAGACCAAGGGUUCCUGUCCAACGUUAAUCGGGGCAGGGUGAGUCGACCCCUAAGGCGAGGCCGAAAGGCGUAGUCGAUGGGAAACAGGUUAAUAUUCCUGUACUUGGUGUUACUGCGAAGGGGGGACGGAGAAGGCUAUGUUAGCCGGGCGACGGUUGUCCCGGUUUAAGCAUGUAGGCUGGUUAUCCAGGCAAAUCCGGAUAAUCAAGGCUGAGGUGUGAUGACGAGGCACUACGGUGCUGAAGUAACAAAUGCCCUGCUUCCAGGAAAAGCCUCUAAGCAUCAGGUAACAUCAAAUCGUACCCCAAACCGACACAGGUGGUCAGGUAGAGAAUACCAAGGCGCUUGAGAGAACUCGGGUGAAGGAACUAGGCAAAAUGGUGCCGUAACUUCGGGAGAAGGCACGCUGGUGUGUAGGUGAAGUCCCUGCGGAUGGAGCUGAGACCAGUCGAAGAUACCAGCUGGCUGCAACUGUUUAUUAAAAACACAGCACUGUGCAAACACGAAAGUGGACGUAUACGGUGUGACGCCUGCCCGGUGCCGGAAGGUUAAUUGAUGGGGUUAUCCGUAAGGAGAAGCUCUUGAUCGAAGCCCCGGUAAACGGCGGCCGUAACUAUAACGGUCCUAAGGUAGCGAAAUUCCUUGUCGGGUAAGUUCCGACCUGCACGAAUGGCGUAAUGAUGGCCAGGCUGUCUCCACCCGAGACUCAGUGAAAUUGAACUCGCUGUGAAGAUGCAGUGUACCCGCGGCAAGACGGAAAGACCCCGUGAACCUUUACUAUAGCUUGACACUGAACAUUGAGCCUUGAUGUGUAGGAUAGGUGGGAGGCUUUGAAGCGUGGACGCCAGUCUGCGUGGAGCCAACCUUGAAAUACCACCCUUUAAUGUUUGAUGUUCUAACGUUGGCCCCUGACCGGGGUUGCGGACAGUGUCUGGUGGGUAGUUUGACUGGGGCGGUCUCCUCCCAAAGCGUAACGGAGGAGCACGAAGGUUAGCUAAUCCUGGUCGGACAUCAGGAGGUUAGUGCAAUGGCAUAAGCUAGCUUGACUGCGAGCGUGACGGCGCGAGCAGGUGCGAAAGCAGGUCAUAGUGAUCCGGUGGUUCUGAAUGGAAGGGCCAUCGCUCAACGGAUAAAAGGUACUCCGGGGAUAACAGGCUGAUACCGCCCAAGAGUUCAUAUCGACGGCGGUGUUUGGCACCUCGAUGUCGGCUCAUCACAUCCUGGGGCUGAAGUAGGUCCCAAGGGUAUGGCUGUUCGCCAUUUAAAGUGGUACGCGAGCUGGGUUUAGAACGUCGUGAGACAGUUCGGUCCCUAUCUGCCGUGGGCGCUGGAGAAUUGAGGGGGGCUGCUCCUAGUACGAGAGGACCGGAGUGGACGCAUCACUGGUGUUCGGGUUGUCAUGCCAAUGGCACUGCCCGGUAGCUAAAUGCGGAAGAGAUAAGUGCUGAAAGCAUCUAAGCACGAAACUUGCCCCGAGAUGAGUUCUCCCUGAGACUUUAAGUCUCCUGAAGGAACGUUAAAGACGAUGACGUUGAUAGGCCGGGUGUGUAAGCGCAGCGAUGCGUUGAGCUAACCGGUACUAAUGAACCGUGAGGCUUAACCUUAC